CUACUAUUUCCUCCGUCCGAAAACACUUGUCAUUAAAAUGGAUACAAGUAAUGUAUCUAGAACUAAAAUACGUCUAGAUACAUCCUCUUUUAUCUAUUUUCAUGACAAGUAUUUCCGGACGGAGGGAGUACAAU
Molecule: non-coding RNA, 134 nt
Organism: Triticum aestivum (bread wheat)
Lineage: Eukaryota; Viridiplantae; Streptophyta; Magnoliopsida; Poales; Poaceae
Source: Rfam